GGUUGACCUCGGAUCAGGUAGGGAUACCCGCUGAACUUAAGCAUAUCAAUAAGCGGAGGAAAAGAAACCAACCGGGAUUGCCCCAGUAACGGCGAGUGAAGCGGCAAGAGCUCAAAUUUGAAAUCUGGCCCCUCCGGGGUCCGAGUUGUAAUUUGCAGAGGAUGCUUCGGGUGCGGCCCCCGUCUAAGUGCCCUGGAACGGGCCGUCAGAGAGGGUGAGAAUCCCGUCUUGGGCGGGGUGUCCGUGCCCGUGUGAAGCUCCUUCGACGAGUCGAGUUGUUUGGGAAUGCAGCUCUAAAUGGGUGGUAAAUUUCAUCUAAAGCUAAAUACUGGCCGGAGACCGAUAGCGCACAAGUAGAGUGAUCGAAAGAUGAAAAGCACUUUGAAAAGAGAGUUAAACAGCACGUGAAAUUGUUGAAAGGGAAGCGCUUGCGACCAGACUCGCCCGCGGGGUUCAGCCGGCACUCGUGCCGGUGUACUUCCCCGUGGGCGGGCCAGCGUCGGUUUGGGCGGCCGGUCAAAGGCCUCCGGAAUGUAUCGCCCUCCGGGGCGUCUUAUAGCCGGGGGUGCAAUGCGGCCAGCCCGGACCGAGGAACGCGCUUCGGCACGGACGCUGGCAUAAUGGUCGUAAACGACC
RNAcentral lists this ribosomal RNA (636 nucleotides) under Aspergillus anthodesmis. Its description in RNAcentral is "eukaryotic LSU rRNA". It matches the Rfam family "Eukaryotic large subunit ribosomal RNA", at positions 1 to 649 of the family's 3401-position model. The record is from RNAcentral. Lineage: Eukaryota; Fungi; Ascomycota; Eurotiomycetes; Eurotiales; Aspergillaceae.